This 253-nucleotide ribosomal RNA is filed under the name uncultured bacterium. RNAcentral's name for it is "partial 16S ribosomal RNA". It matches the Rfam family "Bacterial small subunit ribosomal RNA", at positions 524 to 776 of the family's 1533-position model. The record is from RNAcentral.
AACGUAGGACACGAGCGUUAUCCGGAGUUACUGGGCGUAAAGGGCGUGCAGGCGGUUUUGGAAGUUUGAUGUGAAAGCGCCCGGCUUAACCGGGCGAGGACAUUGGAGACUGCAAGACUAGAGGCAGAUAGAGGGGUGUAGAAUUCCGGGUGUAGUGGUGAAAUGCGUAGAGAUCCGGAGGAAUACCAGAGGCGAAGGCGGCACCCUGGGUCUGACCUGACGCUGAGACGCGACAGCAUGGGGAGCGAACGGG